UUGAACAUCAAGUGUAUUUAUGAACAGCGAGUAUCUUCAUGUAAACAGUUCUAGAUGGAAGACCCAGAUGGCACUCUUCUGGGGGAGGGGUUCCAGCCCCCCACCCCACCCCACCCCAAUCAGCCCCAUCCCCUCACAGCUCAACUCCCCAGUACACAUUGGGGGAGGGGAGGGAGGGGCAAAUGCAGCUCCCAGGUGUAUUUUUUCUUCAAGUGUCAAAGAUCCCCAAGUGAUCCCAACACCCACCCCUUCCUACUCUUACAUUCAUGCGUCUGUAAGAUAGCUGCCUAGAACAGGUCAGUAGUGAAGCUCUGAUCAAAACAAAAACAAAAACAAAAACCAAAGGUACAAAAACAAAGAACACAUUUGGCCCCUUCAGACCAUGAGAUACACACAACCGCCUUGUCCUCCCCCCUCCCACCAGGGCUGCUACCAGGAGCACACAACCCCUUGCAAAGGCCAGUGCAGCCCAGCUGCUCACCUGGCUGUCACACCACUGUUGUCUUAACUGUCAGUAACGAUAAAAAUAAUAAGGUACAUGCUACAUACACAUCCAGCCAGAAGCCCAGUUGGCCCCUAAGCCUUUGUUUCAUGCUACAGUACUGAGGGGCAUAGGCCCCCAACCGGGAGCUACCUGCACACCUCAGUGAGCUUCCUAGGAAACACAAUGUUCCCCCCACCUCCACCUUCCUCCCCUCAGGUGGCUGUUGUCAGUUUGCUAACGACAGGCGUCAAUCCCUCAGCUCCUGCCUGCCAACCUCCAUCUCAAAAUCAAAAGUUGAGUGGUCUCUGGCGUGGGGGCAGGGUAGGCCCCCCCCAGGCUCAAGUUCAACACUCCUCAAUGAGCAGCUGCUCGGAGCUAUACAGCUUUUUCUUGAUGACUCGGAAGCCCGUGCUCAGCGUCAGGGACUGGCUGAAACCGGGGACGAAGGGAGAGUUGGCAGAGCUGAACAGCCCCUGGAUCUUAGGCCAGAGGCGUGAGUCCAGGCGCAGCACGAGGGUCAGCUGGAAAGUGGGCACCAGGCUGGGGUCGAGGGCCAGCUGGCCGACGCUGUGGCAGCUCUUGCCUUGCUCUACGCAGACGUCCAGCAGCGCCCCCCGC
RNAcentral lists this long non-coding RNA (1102 nucleotides) under Lynx pardinus (Iberian lynx). The record is from RNAcentral. Lineage: Eukaryota; Metazoa; Chordata; Mammalia; Carnivora; Felidae.